RNAcentral lists this ribosomal RNA (679 nucleotides) under Salmonella enterica subsp. enterica serovar Anatum. Its description in RNAcentral is "bacterial SSU rRNA". It matches the Rfam family "Bacterial small subunit ribosomal RNA", at positions 865 to 1533 of the family's 1533-position model. The record is from RNAcentral. Lineage: Bacteria; Pseudomonadati; Pseudomonadota; Gammaproteobacteria; Enterobacterales; Enterobacteriaceae.
UAGACCGCCUGGGGAGUACGGCCGCAAGGUUAAAACUCAAAUGAAUUGACGGGGGCCCGCACAAGCGGUGGAGCAUGUGGUUUAAUUCGAUGCAACGCGAAGAACCUUACCUGGUCUUGACAUCCACAGAACUUUCCAGAGAUGGAUUGUGCCUUCGGGAACUGUGAGACAGGUGCUGCAUGGCUGUCGUCAGCUCGUGUUGUGAAAUGUUGGGUUAAGUCCCGCAACGAGCGCAACCCUUAUCCUUUGUUGCCAGCGGUCCGGCCGGGAACUCAAAGGAGACUGCCAGUGAUAAACUGGAGGAAGGUGGGGAUGACGUCAAGUCAUCAUGGCCCUUACGACCAGGGCUACACACGUGCUACAAUGGCGCAUACAAAGAGAAGCGACCUCGCGAGAGCAAGCGGACCUCAUAAAGUGCGUCGUAGUCCGGAUUGGAGUCUGCAACUCGACUCCAUGAAGUCGGAAUCGCUAGUAAUCGUGGAUCAGAAUGCCACGGUGAAUACGUUCCCGGGCCUUGUACACACCGCCCGUCACACCAUGGGAGUGGGUUGCAAAAGAAGUAGGUAGCUUAACCUUCGGGAGGGCGCUUACCACUUUGUGAUUCAUGACUGGGGUGAAGUCGUAACAAGGUAACCGUAGGGGAACCUGCGGUUGGAUCACCUCCUUACCUUAAAGAAGC